AGAGUUUGAUCCUGGCUCAGAGUGAACGCUGGCGGCGUGCUUAACACAUGCAAGUCGAACGAGAACGGUACUAGCUUGCUAGUAUGUCAGCUAAGUGGCGGACGGGUGAGUAAUGUAUAGUUAAUCUGCCCCCUAGAGAGGGAUAACUACUGGAAACGGUAGCUAAUACCUCAUACUCCUUCUACCUUAAUGGUAGUUGGGAAAUGUCUUUUCGCUAGGGGAUGAGACUAUAUGGUAUCAGGUAGUUGGUGGGGUAAGAGCCCACCAAGCCGAUGACGCCUAGCUGGUCUGAGAAGAUGAUCAGCCACACUGGAACUGAGAC
RNAcentral lists this ribosomal RNA (322 nucleotides) under uncultured methane-seep sediment bacterium SB-13. Its description in RNAcentral is "bacterial SSU rRNA". It matches the Rfam family "Bacterial small subunit ribosomal RNA", at positions 8 to 325 of the family's 1533-position model. The record is from RNAcentral.